RNAcentral lists this long non-coding RNA (38395 nucleotides) under Malus domestica (apple). RNAcentral's name for it is "long non-coding RNA (MDOM_LNC007038)". The record is from RNAcentral. Lineage: Eukaryota; Viridiplantae; Streptophyta; Magnoliopsida; Rosales; Rosaceae.
GGUGUUGGCGAAGGCCUUGAUGAUGUCGGGGUUGGUGUCAAAGAUUUUGACAGCGUCGAUGUUGGUUUGGGUUUUGAUGAAGUCGGCGACUUUGGCUGGUGGCGGGAGGUUGUCACCGAGAGUACCGUAGUUUACACCGAUGGAGUAGGCUGUGGCGGCGAGCUGGACGAGGAGGAGAAGGGAGAGGAGGAGCUUGGUGGUAGCCAUAGUUUUUUUUUUUCCCCUUUUGUGGUGGUGUUUUGGGAGAUGGUGGAUCCUCUCCUUUUCCUUUGGAGGAUUGGGGAGUUGGUGGUCAAAGUAUUUAUAGGGGGGAAAGAGGAAAGAAAUUGAGGAGGAAUUAAGAAGAUAAGGGAUGAAUGUGAUCGUGGCAUGUAGUUGGUCAAAUAUCAAUUUUAUUUGUGAUUUCUAUUUACUGCCAAAUUCUGUUGGAUUUUCUUGAUGUAUGCUAGUUAUUAGGAGGAAUUUGAUCUUUUUAUUACACAUCAAAACCUAAAAAUAACUACCCUAAAACGAAUUAUCUAUUUGGUCUUGUUAUCACAUUGUUUGGGCCCAAAAUAGCAGUUUGGGCCGAGGGAGGUAUCACUUUCGGCCCGGGAAGACUACGGCGAGAAAGUCAUGGGGGCUUCAGCUCAUGGGCUUCUAGGCCUAGGUCGGUUAAAUCAGAAUGCAAGUCGAGUCCUAAUACAAUAGGGACCCUCGACGAGAUCAGUAAAACUAGAAGGCGAAUCCGGCUCAGUUAAGGACUAGAUUCGUAGUCCUAGCAGAGGUAGGACUGAUUGAGGUAACGUUAAUCCGGAGAAGGAAACCUAGUUCGAAUAGGAUUAGAACUCGGGCUCGGUGUUCUGCUUCUAUAAAUACAAGACAUUCAGCAAUGGAAAAAGCCCACAAAAAUCAAUACAAAAUUGCCCUGCGCAAACUCUCACAACUUGAGAUCUUUUUCUUUUCCUUUUUCGCUGACACAUCUUCCGUUGGCAUCAACAGCACUGUGGAAGCAACCGGUGAUAUCUUAAGUCGGCAUAGAUAGCUCUGUCACCGUAGAGUCGGUCGGUCUCGCAGUAUCUUCCGUUGGCAUCAACAGCACUGCGGCGAGAACGGUCGAUUGCCUAUCCAAGUCUUGGUCGAGAAGGGUUUUCGAAUCCUUGUUGGUCGAGGUCAUCUCAUUAGCCUUCUCGGCGAGGUGAGGUGUUACCAGGUUACUGUAUUCGGCACAUUGACAGCCGAAUUUGAGAUUGAACUUCGCAAAUUAGCAGCCUUGUCUUCAGGCUCUAGAACCCAAGAGGCCGAGAAUUGUUCCUUCCUCGGCCGCAAUCGCAAGACACAGAAGUCAGCAGCGCGCUCAACGCAACAUCAUCAAAUUUACUCCUCGGCCGAGCUCGGCCGACGAGUUGGCACGCCCCGCAAUCACCGAAGGACGUAGUUAGCUUAGAAAAAUACUCGGCCUGCGCGCCACGUAGGCUUGGUAGAUUCUAGGGUCAACAUUUUGGCACGCCCAGUGGGACCCAGUGCUAAAACUACGAAGUUCAUGCCAAUUGAAACGCGAUCGGUAAAAAGAAAACAGCUAUGGGAAAAUCAACAGCCGAUUUACCGAUUCAGAACGUAGGACAAAGUGUGCCACAGGCGCAGAAUCCCCUUAGCGCCGGGACACCUGAGUCCACAAGUGCGACUCGCCGAGAAAGGGAAGUUAAUCUCGGCGGUCAACACCGCAGUCUAGAAAUCCCUAACAGGAACACUUGUGUUCUCAAUGAAGGGAUAGUGGAGGAUUGCGACGAGGAUGGCGGUGAAGGAUCUGACCCACCAACAAGGUCGUUUCUUCGAAAGCGACUCGACGAGCAGUCUCGGUCAGUUGAGCAGACGUUUAGCCGAGGUAUUGACAAGCUACAUGACGUGAUACUCAAUUCCACUGAGCAGCAAACCAGACUGCUCGAAAUGCUGGUUAGUAAAUUCAGUGACGGCAGGCCUUUCGAUCCUCUCCAGCGCUUGCCACCAAGAAAUAAUCCGUUACCAAUGGUACAGGCCGAGCCAAUUCCUGCUCGGCCCAAACCAAUUGACUUGGAAAAGGUCGGAGGGUCAAAUAGUAGGUCGGACGGAAUCAACCAGAGGGUCGAAGCAACACCUGUUGAUAUGACCGAGGUUCAGCGGAUGAUCGACUCGGCCAUGAAGAAAGGGCCGAAGUUUCCUAAGUUUAUCCAUCCGUACCCGGCCUACAUAGAAACGUUCGGAUAUCCGAAAGGUUUCAAGAUUCUGGAUUUUAGCCUUUUUGCCGGUGAAUCGUCCUUGUCUUCGUUGGAGCACGUGGCUCGUUUCACCGCGCAAUGCGGCGAUGUUCAUAGUGAUUUCCAUAAAUUACGGCUGUUCAACUUCUCGUUGACCGGCUCGGCAUUUGCUUGGUAUAUCAAUCUCCCUCCUAAUUCCAUCCAAAAUUGGGAGGAGUUGGUCGAGAAAUUCCACGAGCAGUUUUAUCGACCAGGGUUGGAGGUGUCGGUUUCUUCAUUAGCAAGGAUGGCUCAGGCAUCAGAUGAGUCCCCAAUGGAUUAUCUUACCAGGUUCAAAUCAGCCAGGAAUUGGUGCCGAGUACCCUUGCCCGAAGUCGAGUUCGUCCGGCUUGCUUUGAACGGCCUCGACGUCGAAUACAAAAAGAAAUUCUUGGGGGCAAAUGUUCGGGAUAUGUAUGAAUUAGCCCAACAUGUCGAACAGUAUGAUUAUUUGCUCCGCGAGGAAAAGAUUUCGAAAACUCCGUCUCGGGGGACGAUUUACAAGAAUCCUACCGUCAGUUAUGCGUCAACCGAGGAUGAAUGCGUUAGUGUGGAUGCGGCUGAGAUAGUAAUAGAUAAGCCAUACGUUUGCAAGGCCUUGACUCAAGUUGACUCCAGGGAAGUCAAAAGCCGCUCGGCCACUGAAGGAACAUUGAAAUCGUCAAAAGUGUAUACUUUUGAUAUUACAAAGGCUGACGCAAUUUUUGAUCAACUGUUGUCAGCAAGGAUCAUCAAACUUCGGCCUGGUCACAACAUUCCCAAGGCCGAAGAGCUUAAAGGAAAGGUGUAUUGCAAAUACCAUAAUUCAAGUAAACAUACGACAAACAAUUGUGUCGUAUUUCGAGACAACGUCCAGAGCUGGAUUGAUAAUGGAAAACUGAAAUUUCCAGAGAAGAAGAUGAGUAUUGAUGCUGAUCCUUUCCCCACAGCAACCGUGAAUAUGGUCGAUGCAUACCUACCUAAGGACAAAGGAAAAGGGAAGGCCGAAGUUGUUGCGACGCAAGACUUUCGUACUCAGAAUUCUCGGCCACGUUUCAUGGCCGAUUUUCGUUCGAACAAACCACCUACAGCUUUAACAGGACCUGCUAUUGUUAAACCUAUGAGGGAUUAUAGCACCGAUGAAGAUAGUGGGACGGCGGUUUUUUGCAGUAAAUGUAGAGCGAAGGUCGGCAGUGAGCCAGAGAAGAAACCAUCUUCGCCUAUCACAGAACGACCUACGGCCGCAAUUCAGCAAAAAGCAGCCGGCGUCGGCCGACACCAAGGGGUUUUUGAUAGGCUCGGCCCAAAAGUGAAGAUGGAAGAGACAUCCUCAGUCAGGCGGCGCCUUGAUUUUGGCGCUUCAUUUUAUGACGAGGACUAUUAUACGCGUAAUUCUGGUAGUUCGGAAUCGUCGCGGAGUCAAAAAACCUUCAAACCUCCCGAGCCUAAAGAUCAACGUUGGUACACGUAUCAUUCUUCGAAAGGCGUCUACACCGCGUUGUCCAAAUCCCAGAAACGCCGGCACCAGAGGAUAGAUUGCAUGGCCCGUCGGCAGGCAGCCCAAGAAACUUCGGCCCCUAAAUGGCGGCCGAAGGACACAGUUGCUACUGGUGAUGAACGACCAUCUCCAGCUAUUAUGACAGAGUUGGGUCAGGGGAAACGGUUGGUCGACCGAGAUAUCGAGACCACGUUCGAAGAAGCCGAUAAACGGAUCAAACUUCUUCUUCGCCCAGGGGAGAUGAAGGCACGCCUCGAGCAUUUCAGGCAAGAGACCAAGAGCAAAUUAGCCCAGCCAGCUAUACAAGAACCGUUGAUUAAAAUUCGACGGAAUUUGCAUCCACCAUUCCUUGGGGAGGCUUUAGAAUAUAUGCGCGAAUUCCAUAAGAAACAUUCGGCCAACGAUCUGUAUGGUUUGCCGAAAGCAUGCCAGGACACCAUUGAUCUAGUCCUGACUUGUCCGGACGCCGAGCGCGUCAUCCAGAAGACCUCUGACCCGGGAUUGAAGGCAAGGUUCCAGCACAUACGAGAAGCCUGUGUCCUUGGAUUUGAAGUCGACCCAUACACUGAUAUCGUUGCAGCCGACCUUCCUUUCUCAAUGGAGGAUCUUCAGUAUUUACGAUAUCACUUCGAAGUAUUUUCGGCGGUUUCUCUCUUCGGCCUCACGACCGAUGAAGUAGCACGUGUUGCACGUCUGGAUGCUUAUCUCGAUACCAGAGAUGCCCGGCUAUACUACCAAGAGCAGGUGCAGGUCCUGACCCCAAGCACACUGUCGAUCUCAACCUCGCCUGCGGCGGUCACACAGAACCAACAAGCUGCCGAAGCAGCACCGCAGGUUCGAACCCUCGAAGAAGGGACAGAGGAGUCUUUUUGUCCAACUCUGACAAAAACAGAGCCCGCAGUCAUCGACCAAACGAGGGAUGAGGUUAGCAAGGAGGGUCCCAACCCGAUGGGCCCGUCAGUCUUGGAUAACAUGGAAAUUAGUAUGGUCCAUGUGUUACCUGCUGAUUUUCAAUCAAGCACGGCUCAACCGAAUUUCCUCGAUGGUGAUGUAGUCGCCGAGGAAACUGGCCAUGUGGAUUUUUGUGUCUAUUGCUGAAGAUGAGUCAACAACGAAAGAUGACAGUCUGAAGGCCGCUUUGACCGAAUUAUUUCCUCGUUCGUCAUCGGCCGCACUCCACCAUUUAAAGCCAUUGUAUGUGACGGCCCACAUCGAGGGAUAUCCCGUUUUCUCAAGUUUUUGUCGACUGUGGCGCGACCGUCAAUAUCCUGCCUCUGAACAUCAUGAAGGCCUUGCGUCGCUCGAACGAGAACGAUGAAACUUAUUCCGUCAGGGAUCACAAUGAGUAGUUUCGUCGGCGACAAAUCGCAAACCAAGGGUGUACUUCCGUUAACUGUGACUAUUGCCGGUCGCACUCACAUGACCGCUUUUUUUGUAGUUGAUUCCAAAACCGAGUAUAAUGCACUGCUCGGUCGAGAUUGGAUUCAUCAAACCAGUUGUAUUCCUUCCUCAUUGUAUCAAGUGCUUGUUUUUUGGGACGGCAAAUCGGUCACUGUUCACCCAGCCGAUAACCAGCCCUUUGAAACUAACAUGAUCCAAGCACGGUAUUAUGAUGACCACGUCGGCUACAUUACUUUGCAAGGCUUCAAUGAUGAAGGCCGGCCGACUCGGAUUUCUGUUCAGAAAGCUAUCGAGGUUGGCGCCGAGACUGUCCAGCAGGAUUCGGCGAGACUCGGAUUAGCUAACUUUCUCCCCGAAUCCGAUGUUUGACGCCGAUCGGGAAGCACGUAGGGCCGCGGUUUCAUCUACUAUGGAACGACUGCUGGCCCAUUGGUAUACGAUAUCCAAACAACCAAAUUCGGGUGUCAACCUCGUCGAGUUCCUUGCUGAGGGAGAUAAUGGGCCUGUGUUAUCUUUUGAUAAAAUUCGAGCCGCCCCGUCCAAGCUCGAAGAUCAUCGGCCCCUUGUCAAGGACCCUUUGGAAGAAAUUAAUGUUGGGACGGCCGAGGACCCACGGCCUUUGUUUAUUAGUGCUUUACUUCCCCAACAAAUGAAAGAUGAGCUUCGUGCCUUGCUUACGGAGUUCAAAGAUUGCUUUGCUUGGAGUUAUCAUGAAAUGCCCGGCUUAGAUCGUGCUUUGGUCGAGCAUGAAUUACGUAUUAAGCCCGGAUUCAAGCCUUUCCGUCAGCCACCUCGUCGAUUCUCGACCGAAGUACAACUCAGUGUUAAGGACGAAUUAGUUCGGCUUUUGAAAGCCGGGUUCAUUCGGACAGCUCGAUAUGUCGAAUGGUUGGCGAAUAUUGUUCCUGUAUUAAAGAAAAGUGGUGCACUGCGCAUCUGUACCGAUUUUCGCAAUCUGAAUCUGGCAACGCCCAAAGAUGAGUAUACAAUGCCGAUUUCAGAUCUGUUAAUCGAUGCCGCGGCGAAUCAUGCGAUCUUAUCUUUUCUGGAUGGACAUGCCGGAUAUAACCAAAUAUUUAUUGCCGAAGCCGAUGUGCACAAAACUGCUUUCCGGUGCCCGGGGGCACUCGGCACUUACGAAUGGGUUGUCAUGCCAUUCGGCCUCAAGAAUGCCGGCGCCACAUACCAACGGGCGAUGAACACCAUCUUCCAUGAUUUAAUUUGCACCAUCGUCGAAGUUUAUAUCGACGAUGUUGUCGUCAAAUCUAAACGCCGACAGACACAUCUGGACGAUCUCCGACAGGCUUUUCUCCGUAUGCGUCAGCACAACCUCAAGAUGAAUCCUGCCAAGUGUGCCUUCGGUGUAUCGGCCGGGAAUUUUCUUGGUUUCCUCGUACAUCAUCGGGGGAUUGAAGUCGAUGAGAACAAGGCACGCGCAAUCAUCACCGCCCCACCCCCAACAACGAAGAAACAAUUACAGUCCUUACUCGGCCAGAUCAAUUUUUUACGCCGAUUUAUUGCUAAUUCGGCAGGUAAAAUGAAAGCCUUUUCCACACUUUUGAAGCUCAAGGACUCCGAUACGUUCAUGUGGAAUGAGGAGCACCAGGCGGCGUUCACACAGAUCAAGGUUUCCCUUACAAACCCACCUGUCCUGGUCCCUCCUCAGCGCGGUAAGCCUCUCAAGCUGUACAUUUCGGCGGCCGCCGAGUCCAUCGGUUGCCUCCUCGCGCAAGACAAUGAUGCCGGCCGGGAACAGGCUAUCUUCUACCUCAGCCGUAAUCUGAGUCCUCCGGAGAUCAAUUAUUCCGCCGUUGAGAAGCUCUGUCUCGCCGUGUUCUUCGCUGCAUCCAAGCUUAGGCAUUACAUGCUCCCGUCGGUCACCCAAGUCAUUGCCCAGACCGACGUUAUCCGGUACAUGCUUACCCGGCCAAUUGUGAAGGGCCGAAUUGGGAAAUGGACGAUGGCGUUGUCCGAGUUUAGUUUGCAAUACGUGCCGCAAAAAGCUGUGAAGGGACAGGCGUUGGCCGAUUUCCUUGCCCAGCACCCUUCGCCUUAUGAUUUCGGGGGUGCUGAUGUUGAGAUUGGCAUGGUGGUGACCCGCGACAACUAUUGGACGAUGUAUUUCGAUGGUUCCAGUACUUCGUCCUCGGCCGGUGCAGGCAUCGUCAUUCAGUCUCCUCACAACGAUCGUUGGUAUUUUUCGCUCAAAUUGGAUUUUGACUGUACCAAUAAUCAGGCCGAGUACGAGGCUCUGGUCAUUGGUCUAGGCCUCCUUCUUGACCUACAUGCCACUCGUGUCCUCGUCCGCGGGGAUUCUGAACUAGUAAUUAACCAAAUUAAUGGGUCUUUUCGCUGCAUGAGUUGUACUCUGGCGCCUUACCACAUGAUCGCCAGCUAUUUGGCCGAGUCCUUUGACGGCAUUACAUUCGAGCAUAUUUCUCGGGGUCAUAAUACCGACGCAGACGAGUUGGCUCAAAUCGCCUCCGGUGCACAACUCCUGGGGGGCAAGCUAGGCCGGGAGAUACCAAUAUUGCAACAAUUAUACCCGGCCUUGGUUGAUCAGCAAAUCCUCCGUCGAGACAAUGUGAUACGCACCAGGGUCAUGUCCUUGCCUUCGUUGUUGGAUCGGCAGGACCAGGACUCUAUAGAAAUUUGCGCGGCCGAGGCAGUACCAGAUGAUUGGAGAAAGCCCAUUAUGCAGUACCUUGACAAUCCUAACGGAAAACACAGUCGCAGGACACGGGCUCACGCCACGAACUAUGUCACGUACCAGAGCGAGUUGUACCGAAAGGGCGAAGAUGGUUUGUUAUUGCUAUGCCUCGGCCCUCAAGAGAGUGCUCGAGCGAUCGCAGAGGUUCAUGAAGGGGUAUGCGGAGCUCACCAGUCUGGACGAAAAAAUGCGAUGGCUACUCCGACGACACGGUUAUUUUUGGCCGAGAAUACUGAAAGAUUGUAUCGAGUUUGCACGAGGAUGCGUGCAGUGCCAAAUCCAUGGGCCUAUACAAAGGGUCCCGGCCGAAUCGCUACAUUCGGUCAUUAAGCCGUGGCCGUUUAGAGGAUGGGCCAUGGACGUAAUCGGCAAAAUCACGCCGACUUCUGGAGCUGCUAGGCAUGCAUGGAUAAUAGUCGCAACUGAUUACUUUACUAAGUGGGUCGAAGCAAAAUCAUAUGCCGAAUUAACGUCUAAAGAAGUUUGCGAUUUCGUGGAGGAACACAUUGUGACCCGGUUCGGUGUGCCAGAAACGAUCAUAACCGACAAUGGAACAAUCUUCACAGCUGAAAGGUUUAAGGAAUACACGGCCAAUUUGAAAAUUCGGCUGGAACAGUCCACACCGUAUUAUCCACAGGCGAAUGGGCAGGCCGAGGCAAGUAAUAAAGUGUUGAUUGGCAUCCUCGAAAAAAUAAUAAAAGAGAGGCCUGGCAUGUGGCAUUUGAAGUUGAACGAGGCAUUAUGGGCAUACCGAACGUCGUCCCGAUCGGCGACUGCAACAACCCCGUACGCAUUGACUUACGGACACGAUGCGGUGCUACCAGUCGAGUUGAGCAUAAAUUCGUUGCGAUUAAUUGAACAAAGUAGUUUGUUUAGCGCCGAAUAUAAUCAGUCCAUGAGACAGGAACUAGAAGAUUUGGAAGAAGCGCGACUUGACGCUUAUAACUUACUGGUAGCACAGAAACAGAUUGCCGAGCGAGCCUAUAACCAAAAGGUACGACAGAAAACGUUCGGCGAGGGUGAAUUGGUGUGGCAAACGGUGUUGCCCGUAGGAAUAAAAGAUCCUAGGUUCGGCAAGUGGUCGCCGAAUUGGGAAGGGCCGUUCAUUGUGCAUAAGGUAUACGGUAAAGGGGCGUAUCAUCUCAAAGACCGGACUGGAGUAGUUCACAAAUUACCAAUUAAUGGGAAAUUCUUGAAGAAAUACUAUCCGGUCACAUGGGAAAUGCGUGAAUAAAAAGUUUGUUGUAGGAAAAGUCAUUCCAUUAAAAUUGACAGGUAUUACAAAAAUGAGUAGGUCUAAUAUAUUCAAGGAGACGAGGGAAGAAGAGUGCUGAGCAGAGCUUUCAAUUCCAACCACCGCACGUCGGCCAUGAUGACUUCGGCUUGCCGAUUCUUUUUGUCUAGCCUCAGGCGCUCGACCCGCUUUUUGGCCGCCGCAUACUCAGUUAGGCGAUCCUUCCCGCCUGACUCGAAGUCCCUCGCAAGUUCAGAAGCAAUGACCGACCGGCGUUUUGUUAGUUCGGCCAUCUGACGGUCGAGCUCGGCUAACGCUUCUCCUUUUGCCCGUAGAUCGUCAAUCUUCGGACGGAGGGUGUCUUGAACGGCCGUGGCGGCUUGCAGGUCCUGUUCGGCCUUCAGAGCAGUCUGGAAGAUGCCAAAUGUCUCCCGAACGCGCUCCAAAGCAGACGAUGCCCGAACAAUGGCAUCUCCGCUUAGGCGACCGUCGGCCCCAAGGUCGUUCAGACACACGCCGAGCAGAUCAAGACCGUUGCGCUCAAGUACUUGCGAUGAAGAGAGCGACAGGACUUCUCGCAACUGGGUUAGGGCGCUUGGAUCGGCAGCCUCAGUUGGAGCGACCGAAGGGCCGGACUCUGCAGUCGUACUGGAGAGGAGAGCUUUGAAUUCAACCUCCCAUGAAGCCUGCACGAAUAAACAAGGUUAAGCUUAAAGGAAGUCAUGACAAGAAUAGCAAGAAGGUGUCGUUUUUUAACCUGCUGAGAGGAGACCUCGGCCAUGUCCCCAGGGUCGUUGCUCGAACCUAAAGAACUCAAUGGCCGAGCCCAGUGUCUCAGAUUGCUUCUCACUUCACGAGGCCGAUGGAAGUUAUCUACGUUUGAUGGCCACACUGAGGCGGCCAGGAAAUAUAGAUAACGCCCUUCGGCGCAUAGAAUUGACGGUGAAAAGAAUGUACAGGCACCUGACAUUUAGUUUUUCCUUGUUUAGAAUUCUAAAGCAGAAAAGCAAUCAGGAGGAAAAUUGAAGGUACUUACAAAAGCCGAGGUAACCUCUUGUGGAGGGAUGUGGAAGCCUUGGUCUUGAGGAUGGAUCGGCGAUUCCGCCGUGGCCUCGGGUUCCUCGAGCAGGCGUUUGCCACGGUCGGCUGCCGAUGGGCCGAUUGGCGCAGCUGCUUCAGUGGAGGCAGGGACGCCCUGGUCUUGAGAAGGAACGAGAGGUUCGGCCGCCGGGGUCGGUUCCUCGACCGUGUGUUUGCCACGAUUGGCCGAGGAGGGGCCGGGUUGAACCGCCAUCUCGGAUACUGGAAGAGUUCGUUGACGAGUAGGAGGACGACGCGCCAGCGGGACCUCGUCGCUCCCCUCACUCUCUUCCAGCACGAAGACCGUGGGCUUUGGAUUCUUGGGAGAGUUUUCCUCGGUCGUAGGAACCGCCUGGUGUGAGACAGGUGCCUUCUCGACAGAGGGAGGUACGACUGAUUCGCCGGCCACAGAAGCAGGCCGCAUUGGGAUCGUCUCUAUGGCCGAAGCCGGUUGUUUCUUGACCCCAGAAUGGCCGGCGGCGGGAGAAGGGGAAGCACUGGGAGUCGUCGUGUGGCUGGAAAUAACGUGGAUCUCCCGUGCACCUUUCUUCGCCAGUUGCUUGACCCGCUUGGCAGGCGGGGAAGGCUUGAUAGCCGGCCCGACCUCUUGGCGAGGCCGUUUGGUCAGCCCGGCCCUACCAGCAGGUUUGUCUUUUUUGGCCACGACCGAUUUUUUCCCGGCCAUAGCAGCGGCAACUACCUCUGUCUUUCUCAAAGGCCGACUACCUAAAAGGAUAAAGACAAUUCAGUAAGGCGUACAACAGGCAAGGUUGAAGAAAAAGGGGGAAUUGAACAACUACCUUGAGAAUGGGGGGCCGGGGCUUUCUUAGGUCGGUUACCGAAGAGCCUGUUUAGUACAUCCUCGACCGGCGUACCGAAGAACUCUUGAGUGUAAUUUUCCCACCACUCACCGAAGGUGUCAGUGCAAUGGGUUUCUGGGGUGGCCGGUCGUAGGCGAAAUCUUUGGCAGUACUCUUCAAACUCCUUCGCGGCAGUCCUGCACUCGUUCUCUGAAGAGCGAGGCUCGCGUCCGCGGCUCAAUACUGUGCGGGAAGAGAGAGAAGGGGGACGGGACAGCCCUGAAGAUAGCCGAGCUGACGGGCAAGGAAGUUCGGAUGGUACACUUCCCACCCCGACCGUUUCCCGUCGCAGCCGAGAGAGGAAGGUCGCGAGCAAGCACGAACGACCCCCAGGUACGGCGAAGAGCGGCGUCCUCCUCUGCCGCCCACGUAGAGGUAGGCAGUUUGAUGGAGGGGGGGUAAUCACGACGACGACAAAUCAGGAAUUCGUCGCUUGUGAGAUCGUCAAGGGCAAAGAGGUACCUAAACACCUCUUCGGCCUGAUGAGGAGGCGUUGGUCGGGAGGCUAGCUGAGGACCAAGAGCCUCUGUUGCUGAGAAAAUCAGCUAUAGCCGGCCGAAGGGAGGCGAAGUACACCUGCAACCAGAGCUGGAAGACCCAGAGAGGGCCAUUCUGGUGGGGAUCCACCGUGUGGAGAGUCGCCUCGGCCAGGCAACGGAAGAGGUGGGCAAGAAUAUUAGAACUCAGCGCCAGGACGCGACCACUGGCCAGGGCUUCGGCCACUGGCAUAUUCUCGACCAAACAUUUGUUUGAUUUGGUACAACAAAUGUAUUUUAUUGUACCAGUAGAAGAGGAAGGCUUCAUGCUCUCCUUCUCGCAGGUCCUCUUCCCCUCGACCGGCGAAGUGAAGGUAGAGGGUGUUGUAGUUGAGAAAGUUCUUGUGGAGCUUCUGUAUUUCAUCCCUCGACGGGAUGUGACCGUCACUAUUCAGGGUCUCGAAGGCUCGACGGUCGAAGAGCGUCUUCAGAUCGAUAUUCGACGGGUGCCCGGAGAGGGUCGCGUCGAUAGGGAUCCCGGUGGCCGAGGUCCCCAAAAUGGCGGUGAUGUCCAGGAUGGUGGGACCAAUGGGACCAAGGGGAAGGACCAUUGUGUUGGUGGCUGAGCACCAGAAGCAUAGAGCGGCUAGGAGCAGCUCCUUGUCAGGGACAAUGUCCAUUGACGAAAGGAGGAUGGCGUCGUAGAUGCCCAGGAUUUUCCAUUUUUCGCCGAAGAGCCGUUCCAUUCGGACAACCCAGGUCGCCCAGGUGGUGGUCGUCGAGGGCCAGGAGCCUUGGGGCUUUGCCGCCUCCCAUCUCGACCAUUCGAACCCUUGGAGCAAGGGUGUAAGGCAGUGUUCCUGGAGAAGACCAGUGAUGGUCGGGGCGGAUUGUUGCCUUGAAGAGAGGACCCAGGAUUUGGUGGGACGGUGCUCAUGUCGUUCUCGAACCGUAUAUUCUUGAUCGAGCUCCGAUCAAGGAUCUUCUGAUGCUGGGUCGCAUUCCCGGGAAAGCUUGGAGAUGAAGGAGGCCAUUGUAAAAGCACAGCGUAAGGAGGUUUUUUGGGUUGGGGAUUUGAGGACGAAAGCUUGGAAUGGAGGAAUGCACUUGAGAGCAAGAGUAGGGGAUUUCAGGAAGUUUGAGAACGUAAAGUACAAAUGAGGAAAUUUCGGUAUUUAUAGAGUAAUGGGAGGAGAGAGCAAUCGUUCGAAAUUCAAAAGCAAAGGGCAAAAUCGACCGGAGGAAUCGUUGAUCAUGAUGAGCAUUUGGGGAAUGCGGUUGAGAAGACCGACGGUUUUAGGUUUUGGGGGCGCACGAUCGCGCGUGUGACGGCGAAGUUAAUGACGAAAGACGGUUCGACGCCUGCACGAUGACAGGAGGGCUCACGGACUGAUGAAAUGGCUCGCGGAUUGAGAUAGUGGUCAUAAUGACGAGACGGUUCGGGCAGGCGCACGCUUCAGACGUCAUUAUCAGGGAUUGGCCAUGUUAGGGGAUGCCACGUGGCGAGUGGUUUAGCAGGAUCAAGAUCGUCGUGCGAUCAUGUUCAAUAAAUGCGCCUUGGAACUCGGGUAUUGGGAUCCUGAGUGGUAGAUUCGCUUCUUCAAGGCCGAAACUCGGCCGAAGGUUUCAGGCCGAGGACCUCAAAAGCGAGGGGGCAAUGUUUGGGCCCAAAAUAGCAGUUUGGGCCGAGGGAGGUAUCACUUUCGGCCCGGGAAGACUACGGCGAGAAAGUCAUGGGGGCUUCAGCUCAUGGGCUUCUAGGCCUAGGUCGGUUAAAUCAGAAUGCAAGUCGAGUCCUAAUACAAUAGGGACCCUCGACGAGAUCAGUAAAACUAGAAGGCGAAUCCGGCUCAGUUAAGGACUAGAUUCGUAGUCCUAGCAGAGGUAGGACUGAUUGAGGUAACGUUAAUCCGGAGAAGGAAACCUAGUUCGAAUAGGAUUAGAACUCGGGCUCGGUGUUCUGCUUCUAUAAAUACAAGACAUUCAGCAAUGGAAAAAGCCCACAAAAAUCAAUACAAAAUUGCCCUGCGCAAACUCUCACAACUUGAGAUCUUUUUCUUUUCCUUUUUCGCUGACACAUCUUCCGUUGGCAUCAACAGCACUGUGGAAGCAACCGGUGAUAUCUUAAGUCGGCAUAGAUAGCUCUGUCACCGUAGAGUCGGUCGGUCUCGCAGUAUCUUCCGUUGGCAUCAACAGCACUGCGGCGAGAACGGUCGAUUGCCUAUCCAAGUCUCGGUCGAGAAGGGUUUUCGAAUCCUUGUUGGUCGAGGUCAUCUCAUUAGCCUUCUCGGCGAGGUGAGGUGUUACCAGGUUACUGUAUUCGGCACAUUGACAGCCGAAUUUGAGAUUGAACUUCGCAAAUUAGCAGCCUUGUCUUCAGGCUCUAGAACCCAAGAGGCCGAGAAUUGUUCCUUCCUCGGCCGCAAUCGCAAGACACAGAAGUCAGCAGCGCGCUCAACGCAACAUCAUCAAAUUUACUCCUCGGCCGAGCUCGGCCGACGAGUUGGCACGCCCCGCAAUCACCGAAGGACGUAGUUAGCUUAGAAAAAUACUCGGCCUGCGCGCCACGUAGGCUUGGUAGAUUCUAGGGUCAACACACAUACAAAUAAUUUAUCAGAUAGCUAAAAUGAAUGUAUAUUUAAGUUUUUUUAGCUCUCUCAUCAUCUCUUAGUAUCACGUAAAGACGUCAUAAACUUGUUUUAUGAUAAUUUGCUUGAUUUUGUUGCUUGAUUACCCUGAACCCUAAUACAGCUAUGCUACUAAGGGCGGAGCUACCUAAGGCCCAGAGGGGGCAUCCGCCCCCACUCCGAUUUUUGGGCGAUGGAAAAAAUUGUCAUGACAAUUAAAACAACAAUUAAAUUUUUUUUUUUGGUUCCGAAUAUUCCACGUUUUCUAACCUAAAUCAAACUCAAUUGAACUGGGGGUUUCAUAAAUAGAUUGGAUUCAACCGAUGAAGUAUCAUAACUUGAUAUAAAAAAUUUACCCUGUAAAGUAUUUUAUAUGAAUUUACUUCAUCCAUUCGUUUGUGGCAUUACAAUUUAAAAUUUAACUUUUUAAUUUAGAGAUUUUUCAUUGUACCUGACCCUCAACAACUUAACACCAAUUAUUUUACUUGGUUGUUUUAGGACGCCCCCAGUCAAAAACAUUUCUAGCUCCGCCCUUGUAUGCUACCUGUAAUUUGUAUACAAAAUUGUUCGGGGGCUCAUAACAUUUGAAAAGGCUUAAGGUAGAAUGAAGUUCAGUGCAGAGAGAAGCAUCUCUAGCAGAUGUUGAGAAAUUGAAAUGAUGCAUGCCAACUCAUCUUUGGCACUUGGCUAGGGACAAAACGAGCCGUCGUUGUAGGACUGAAAACAUCUUUGAGUCGUAAUAAAAUAAGAGAAGGGCUCGGUCUUAUGUUCAGGGGCGUUGGAAGAGCGUAAGGUGCAAUCGCAUAGACCCGAAAUUUGAACAAGUUUAUUAAGAUAUUUGCUAUCUAAUAUUUGUAAGUAAUAAUGUUAAGGAUUAAUCUCAAUUUAUUACUUUGAAGAUUUUUUUGUUUUCAACAUUUAGUACAUCAAGUUUUUUUCAUCUUGAAAUAGUACUUGAAGUCAAAAUUUUGGAAUAGUUUUAUACAUCUGUUAAGGUUGUUGUUAAAUUGGCUAUUAACUGAUGACAUGGUGUCCAUGUGGACAAUGACUGGACACCACAUGGAUAUUAAAAAAAUUUAAAAAUUAAAAAAAAAAACAAAACAAAAAUUAGAAGAGAAAUAUCUCCUCUCUCCCUUUAAUCUCCACCAUCAAGAGGAGAGUGUCCACCAGCUCUGCCGCUACACCCUUGCCAACCCACACAUCCCUUCCUUUUUCCUUUCCCCUCUCUCUCUCUCCCACUUUUUUCUGUUUUCUCCUCUAUAGUUUCUCGUUCAGAACCCUAAAACUGAAGACGAAGUAGCAAGAGCUCCUGAUGGUGGAGAUCCAAGGGCGAUGGUGACCGAGAACUUGGCGGCGCGUUCAAUUAGAGUGAGCUUGUAGGGAAAUUUAGGCCAAAAUUGAAAGGGGGUUGCUGGACGUAGGCCGGAAUUGAAAGGGGGUUGUUGGAGAUGGGUUUGAGGCCUGAUAAUUUUAGCCUUGUUCAGGUUUUAUCUGCGUGUGGGAGGUUAGGGGAUAUAGGCAGUGGGGAAUGGAUUGAUGGAUACGUAACGUAGAUGGGUAUAGGGAAGAAUGUGUUUGUUGCUACCUCUUUAGUUGAUAUGUAUACCAAAUGCGGAAAUAUGGAGAAAGCUCGUCGCAUCUUUGAUGUGAUGCCCGAGAAGGAUAUAGUUUCUUGGAGCAGCAUGAUUAAGGGAUAUGCAUCAAAUGGGUUUCCUAAAGAAGCCAUAGACCUCUUCUUUCAAAUGCAGGAGGAGAAUUUGAAACCCAAUUGCUAUGCCAUGGUCAGCGUACUUUUUGCUUGUGCAAGAUUAUGAGCGCUCGAAUUAGGGGACUGGGCUAGCAAUUUGAUGGAUAAAGCUGAAUUUUUCACUAACCCAGUUCUUAGUACAUCUCUAAUUGAUAUGUAUGCGAAAUGCAGGAACAUGGUCCUGGCUUGGGAAGUCUUUUAAGGUCAUUUCCAACCAAAGGGUCCAGAGGGUCAGAUGGUCAAAAAUAGUCCGAAAAUCGUCUACAACUAAGGGCUAUGCCAGAGGGCUCGUGGGCCCAUGAAAUCUGAAAGGGCCAAAGGGUUGGCCACAAACAGCUAGCCAACCAAAAAUUCAUAGCAAUCCUGUCAGUUAUAACUGACAGGAGUAUAUUUAAUAUAUUUAAUAUAAAUAUAUUCCUAUCGAUUAUAACCGACAUAAUUGCUUAAAGAAAAUUUUGAAUCCAACGGCUAGCUGACGUCAGCUAGCCGUUAUUUUUUAAUAUUAUUUUUUACAGUUUUAUUUAUUUACAAAAUUUUUCCUAUAACUUCUUUUUUUUUUUUCUAUAAAUUCUAUUUUACAAAAUUUGUUUCAUAUUUUUUUUAAAUUAUUAUUUUUUUCCUAUAACUUCUAUUUUACAAAAUUUGUUUCCUAUUUUUUUUUUAAAUUCCAUUUUUACUAUAACUUCUAUUUCACAAAGUUUGUUUCAUAUUUGUUUUAAAUUCUUUUUUUUUUCCUAUAACUUCUAUUUUACAAAAUUAGUUUCAUUGUUUUUUAAAUUCCAUUUUUUCCUAUAACUUCUAUUUCACAAAAUUUGUUUCAUAUUUUUUUAUUAAAUUCUAUUUUUUUCCUACAACUUCUUAAGUCAUUAUACAACAUUAAAUUAAAUUAAGUAACAUGAAACAACAUUAAAUAACAUCAACCAAUAUAAAAAUUAUACAACAUAAAAAAAACAUUUAACAACAUGAAACUUAAACAACAUUUUUAAAAACAUUUAACAACAUAAAACUUAAACGCAUACUCCAUGCUUCUUUUGGCCCAAAGAUAUGUCACAAGAUCCUGUUAUAGGUACUUGUUUGUAGCACAAUAACGUAUUAUUCUAUAGCGCCGCAUGUACUCAUUUAUAGAGAUACUAUCAGUUCUUGGAUUGAAAGGAAAAUUAGGUCCAUCAUAUAUUUUUGCACGAGCCCUUCUUGACCUAUUUGGAUCUUCUUGGUCGUUAUCGGACCCUUCAUCAAUAUACCCAUCUCACUUGUAGAUGCAAUUUCUUCCUCCUUGAUCUUGGACAAGUUUGCACCUACAAAACAAUUAACACCUUAAGUUAAGGCCAAGAGCCUCACGCGCCCACGAUGAAUGGGGAGGCUUUGGCCGAUGAACCUCCGAUGCCAAAGUUAGAAUUUAGAGAAAAAUAGUGUUUAGAGAAUUUUGGAAUUUUUGCCAAAGUGUUGGAAUGAUUUUUUGGUGAAAUGGGAGCCUAUUUAUAGGGCUAGGUAGGGGUGGAUUUUUUUGCCAACUUGCCAUGCCAACCGAAUUGCCAACCGUGCCAUAUCGAUUUUGUGCCAAUUUUUUGUACCAAUCGGUAAUGGUAUGGUAUUGUACCAUACCAAAAUUUCAUGGUACGGUAUUGUACCGUACCAAAAUUUCAUGGUACGGUAUUGGUAAUGGAUACCAUUACCACGGUAUUACCGUACCAUACCGAAAAUACAAUAUAAUUUAUAAUUUAUAAUUUAUAUAAUACAUAAUUAUAUAACACAUAUUUAUAAUAUUCCAAUAAUUUGAAAAUAAAACCCUACUUAUAUUAGCAUUGUUGUUGGUGACUUUGAUCUCUUAAAAUUGUGGAAAUCAAACACAAAAGAGUUCCUAAUUCUUUCACAAAUAACCAAAAUAUCUUUGUAACCCCCACUUCUACUAUUGCUAGUGAAAAUGCAUUUAGUCUAGGGAGGAGGGUUGUGAACCCAUUUAGGGUAUCAUUGACUCCUAAAAUAAUGGAGGCACUAGUGUGUACUAGUGGUUGGCUUAGGGCAGGUGAAGUAAACUUCUACAAGGACCAACGGAAGAUAUGCUUCAAUUUUACAAGGAAAUAGAAGAAGAGAAAACAAGAAAGAUAUGCUUUAAUUUUUUUAGUAAAUUUGUUAUUAAAUGGUUUUCAACUUUAAUUCUUCUUGCUACUAAUUAAUAUGUUUUCUUUGUUUGUAAUGUAGGCUUGACACAAACUCAAUCUUCUACAAGUUCAAUGCCUCAUCCAAAAGCUUCAACAUCUCAAGCUUGAAUAACUGAUCAAUGAAUUCUCCUUUUUGAAGUUUACUUCCAAUUUUCAUUUGGUUUGAAACUUUAAUUUCUAUUUGGAUUGUUAACUUCUAUUUGUUUUGGUUCGUAACUUCUAUUUGGAUUGUAAGCUUAAUUUUCAUGAUGAAUCUUGAUGCUUCAUUUGAAUUAUUAUGUGCGUGAAUUGUGAAUGAUGAAUAAUAGAUGAAUUUAAUCUAUAAUGUAUGAGAUAAAGGUACAAAAAAAAAGUUUUGCCCUUGAAUUGGGUUAAAAAAACAAAAACAUAUUUUGUCCCAAAACAAAUUGGCAAUUACCAUUGCCAUACCAUGCCAACCAAACUUUUGGCAAUACCGAACUUCGGUAUACCGAAAGUUUGGUACGGUAAUGAUAAUAGAUUUUACCAAACCGAAAGUUUGGUACGGUAAUUGGUACAAGGGUUUUGGUACGGUAACCGUACCGAACCCAUCCCUAGGGCUAGGGUUCUUGAUUUAGGUUGAAUUUAGGAGUUAUGGAGUAAUUAGCUAAUUAAAAUAAUUCUCUAAUUAAUUGGCUAAUUAUUAUCAUAAAAGGGGAAAGAUGUGGUAAAAAAGGUAAAUGGUAUGGCUGAUUUCCUUGGUGUGGAGGAUAACCAGCCUUUAUGGUGUUGUUUGGAUAUAAUGGAUGGUUUAAUUGACAAUUAAUGGGUUAAUUAGGCAAUAAAUGUCACAGCCCGUUCCGGAUUUUUAUAUAUCGGGGACGUGAAAUGACGGAAUUACCCUUGGCGGGUAUUAAGGUAUGUGUGUGUGUGACAUAUUGGACUAAAUGCAGUCAUUCCUAAACUUUUGGAAGCAUAGUUUUAGUGGGAUUAAAAAUUGGGUUGUAAUUUAUGUGGUUAGGGAUUAAAGGAAUUGGAUUUUUUUAAAUUGUUUUGGUUGGACCACACGGGGCAUCUCCCCCUUUCUCCCCCAUGCUCUCUCUCUCUCUCUUCUCCGUUCAGUCUCUCUCUCCCUCUCGAAUUGUACGGACAAGGGUCAAUACCCUCGAACUUUCACGGAUCGACGCCAAAAAGGUAUGGUUUGUCAUCCCUUCGACCUCCUGAAUCGUUUGGUACUAGUUUUAGGACGUGAAACCUUCGAAAUCACGUGAAACCCGAACCCCCAUUUUAUGUCACUAUUCAUGCAAUCGUAAUAUGUCAAUUUUUAGGGAAUUCUAAGCUUAUAGUGAGCUUAGUGGGGUCCCAAGGAAGCUCGGAGUGCUUCGUUUGAAGGUUUUGGACGUCGGGAUCACUGGGUUCGAAUUUGACCGGUUUUCUUGGAAUUUCUCCGGUGAGAUUUUGUAGUUUUUAAAGCCUUAAAGUAGUAUAACGUGAAACUACAUGCUUAGGGCUUCAUUUUGAUAUAAAAUACGAAGAAAAUGGUUGAGAAACGACGGAGAAUAAUGAGAUUGAAAAAUCUCCAGUUUUCCGGCCACCGGAAAAACCAGUUCGACGAGUCGAGGUAGGAGACGCGCGUGGGGGGCGUGUGAGUCUGUGCCCCUCCCAGCGUGUGGGGGCUCGUGUGGCCUCAGAAAAUUUUUCUAAAAAUUUCUCGACGUCCGUGAUGUCGAGUAGGUCGAUGUGGAAUAUUCAUAUACCCAAAUUGAGCACCGUAUGAGAAGUUAUUUUGAAUUGUCGGUUAUGUGCUUAAAUUAAUGUUUUUAUAGUUGUUUCGCAUAUAGGUGACACCUAUCCCGAGGACGAGCGCAUCCAGGGACGUCACGGGGGUUACGACCCAUCGACUUACUAGUGAGUAGGCAGUUUUGUUUUUAGUAUAUACAUAUAUAUUAUUGAUUUUCCCAGAAAUUGAAUUUAUAUGAAAGUAUGUUUUCAAAUGCCAUGCAUGCAUAUUAUGAAUUAUAUGAAUUGAUAUUGAUGCAUAUAUAUAUAUAUAUAUAUGUGAAUUGGUGUUGUGGACGCACAGGUGAGUAUCAGGUGAGUUUUAUGUUACUCAUGUGAAUCAUUGAUGAUGUGAAUUGUGUUGAGAGCUCAUAACCUGCACCCCUGGUGUUAGUGCUUAUAUUAUUCACCGCACCGCACGCUCACCUUGGAUCCAAGUAGGUGCAUGUCGUAGACCAUGAGAGGGUUCCGACAUGUCAGUCGUACAGAUCACUAGAGGUGGUUCCGACUAGUAGGUGACCUUAGAUUAUGCGCGUAGAUGAUUGAUGAGAGAAGCACUAGAGCGUAUCAUUACACCAUUCUUGUCGUACAGACUACUUCAGGUAGUUCCGACUUAUGUGCAGAGUAGUGCCGUAUAGGUCACCGUGGUGACUCCAGCUGGGUUGGAUAUUGAGCUAUGGAAUUAACCGUACAGGACCAACUGCAGGGUCUCCGGUUGAUUCAUUAUGUCACCUGUUAUUUUGAUGCAUCCAUGUUUUGUUAUUGACAUUUAUGGCAUGGCAUAUUCCUGGAUUUGUGAUAGAUUGGUGAUUUGUGACGUAUGAGGUUUUAUAUACUAUUAUGUUAUUUUUUGGGAAAGUAUACAGGUUUUACAGUGAGGGGUUAGAAAUGUUUUAAAUGAAAUGUUUUGGAAAACUUUGGUUUUACUGACCCACUCAAUUUUGUUUUUGCGCCCCUCCAGGUUCCAGUUAGCAGUUGGUGGCUCACGAGGUUUUCUUUGGCAUUUUGACAGACUUCCUGCAUGUAGGACUUACCUGCGGGUGUUGUAAUUUAAUUAUAGUCCUACUUGACUACACCUAGUUUUUAUGCUAUGAAAUUGUGUACUGCACACUUAAACUCACUUUAGCAUGCUAGUUGGAUAUUACUGCUAGUAGUUGGUUUUUUAUUCCUUCGAUUUCUCAUAUCCUUUGCUUCCGCAUCACACUUUUGGUUACGUCACACUCACGUGACGGCCAACACGCCUUGAUUCUAGGAUCGGGGCGUGUUAAUAAACCCAUUAAUUAGCCAAUUAACAUAAUUUAAAAGGAAUGUGUUUGGGAAUUACCUUGUAGAAAGGAUUUGAUGUGGUUGGAUGAAAUAGGCUUUGAAUUGUUACUUAUUUUAGGCUCUUUUGACUUGGUUGAAAGAUAAUUCUUCGCUACUCGAGCGUAGGAAUCCCGAUAUGCCUUAUUCUUGUCCUUUUUUAUCCAAAAAUCUAUGUGUCGCCUUGUGAUUAUUUUUUGCUCUAUAUCACUCAUCAUCCACUAUCAUAUUGUGUAAUAUGAUGCAAGACAUCAUGAUGGAGUCCAAAUUUUCUCGACUCCACCCUCUUACCGGUUCGCUGAUGAUCUUUCACCAAGUUUGUAGAAUACCAAAAACUCUCUCAACAUCUUUCUGGUAUGCGUCUUAGUGUAAGGUAAACAACUUUUCCACGUCAUUCCUAAGGUUUGGAAUUGCUUGGACAAGUGUCGCCCACUUUGGGUAGAUGCCAUCUGUCAAGUAAUACCCCAUAUUAUAUUGACAGUCGUUGAUGUAGUAGUCAAGUUGAGGUGUUUUACCUUCCGUCAAGCGAUUGAAGAGGGAUGAACGCCCAAGAGCUGUAAUGUCAUUUUGGGAUCUAGGGACUCCAAAGAAAGCAUGCCAGAUCCAUGUGUCAUAUGAGGCAACCGCCUUUAACACAACAGUUGGCUUUCUCAACCUUCCGCUAAAGCCUCAUUGCCAUCCGGUAGGACAGUUCUUCCAAUCCCAAUGCAUGCAAUCUAAUGACCAUAUCUUGCCUAGAAACCCACGGUCUUCAGCUUUGCGAAAGAGCCGAUUAAGAUCUUCUUGAUUUGGCUCGCGGAAGUACUUGUCUUUGCAAACCUAAACAAUUGUGUCAUAGAAUUGUUCAAUAAUAUCAAGGCAUGUAGACUUAGACAUACCAUGGGUUUCAUCCAUCAAAUCGGUUAGGGAGCCAUAGGCCAUCAUUCGGAGUGCAACAGUAACCUUCUGAUGAGGUGAGAAACCAAGACGGCCUGCUCUGUCCUACUUUUGUCCAAAGUAUGGAUUAACCUACUGGACAUCACAAAGUAAACGCUCGAAGACAUGACGCCUCAUCCGGAAGCGAUGUCUGAAAUCCUUUUCUUUGUACACCGAGUUGGGGUUGAAGUAGUUGUUCAUCAGAUUGGCAUGCAUCAUCGUUCUGUUUUGUGGUUUGUAAGAGGGACAAGCAACAAAGCCACCUCAUUGAGGUUGUUCCUCAGUUAGCUGACACACCAUUGUCGCAGCCAUGGCUGCUGUUCUGUUUUGUUUGUUGCGCCUUACUUGAACUUUUUCAUUAGACUCCUCAUCUUCUCAUCUCAUUUGCACCCAUUUUUCUUCCAAUUUGGAAAUAGAUGAGGACCCUCAGUUGGAAUCCAAAAAGGAUCCAAAGUUUGAAUUCAUUGCAAACUUGAAUUGAAAUAGAUUGAAUUCAAAGUUGUGUGAAUUAUAGCCCAAUAUCCACCCUAUUUAUAGCAAAAAAAAAAAUUCAAAUCCAACGGCGAGUUGACAUCACUUAGCCGUUGGAUUUGAAUUUAAGUGGUAGUUUUUAAAUAAUAAAUUAUGUUUGGGCCUAUGACCAUUUGGCCUCGAUUGGAGACGGUUUUUUUGUAAUAGGGCUAAAACGAGCCCUAUGACGCUUUGGCCCUCGGUUGGAGACGGAGGCAAAUAUGGCCCUGUACUGUUCAUUAAAAUAUUAAUAUCUUGGAGGGCUAGAGGGCUAAAACGAGCCUCUGGCCAGCCCUCGGUUGAAGAUGGCCUAAGGGUAACGUUCUCUGGCGGCAUGGUCAUGAGUCGAUAAAUUUCUUCCUCGAACUGGAGGGACUCGACCUUGAGUCCUGGUAAAGGGGAUAUUGAUGGUGGAGAUCAAAAGGGGAGAGAAGAAGAUUUUUUAUAUAUUUUUGGUAUUUUUAAUUUCUAAUUUUUUUUUUAAUUUUUAUAAUUUAUAAUUUUUAUAAAUUUUUAAUAUCCACGUGGCGCACAAUCAUUGUCUACAUGGGCACCAUGUCAUCAGUUAACAGCUGACUUAACAGCAAUCAUAACGGAUGUAUGAAACUGUUCCAAAAUUUUGACUUCAGGUACCACUCUGGGAUGAAAAAAACUUGAUGUAAUAAAUGUUGAAAACCAAGAAAAUUGAGGAUAAUAAACUGAGAUUAACCCUAAUAUUAAUAUGAUAUAUAUUUAAAAUUGCUUUUAUUUAUUUAUUUUUUGUGUUUUGUCAACUAAUAGAUUUUUGUUAGAUUAGAUGUUAGAUUAACUUACGAUGGGGUUUGAACCCAUGCCGUCUUGCAAAAGCUCAACAACUUUUCACCACUGGGGUAAAGGGCUACUUGUAAAAUUGCUUUUAUUAGCACCAUAAAAUUUCAUUGUGCACUCUUUAUAAAUAUGAUUUUUGUUUUCUUCUGAAUAUAAAAGUUUACAGUGCUGAAUGAGAUAUUUAGAUUGUUAAUAAUAACACCCUAAAAACGAUUUCUUUUUCAAAUUUUUUGUAUAAUAAUGCUAUAUAUUUAAAUGAAACUUUAAAAUUAGAGAUUUUGAAGCAUUUUUUCUUGUUUGGUUGUUUAAGAUUGAACUGUUUUUUUAUUAUUUAGUAAAGGUUAUAUUUAUAGCUCUUUUUACUUAUUAUUUAAUGAGAUUUAUAUACGUAGUCUCAGUCAAUAAACAUUAGUACCUAGAGACGGGGAUAUUAAUUUUUUCUUUAUUAUUUUUUACAAAUGAUAAGAUAAUUUAUAUUGAAUUCAUCUAAGAGAGAUCCAAACAUGGGACCUCGAGUGUAGGGGUGAGUUCGGUUCAAAUCGGUUCGGGUUUUUGCCAAAGCCGAAACCAAACCGAAAUUUCGGUUCGGUUCAUUUUUUUCGGUUCGGUUUCGGUUUUUUGUUGUUUUUUUUCCUUCAAAAAAUGAAAAACAUUGAAAGUUUAAAUUUUAACAUCUCCAACACAAUCAUAACAUAAGCAUUCUAACUAGAAUCAAAGACAAUGAAAAUAAACAUAUAAAGUUGAACUAAAAUCAUCAAUCAAGUCUUCCAAAGUCCAAACUAAUAACCUCACAACACAAAAAUCGUAUAAAUGACUUAGAAAAGUUAAAUUUUAUGAGGUUGUUCAAAGAUCAGGGUUGUAUGCUUGUAACUGCAUGUCGACAACUUGAUUAGUAAAAGUAAGGCGUGGGUGGAUUUAUUUAGUGUGUGUUGGAUUCUUUUCCAUCACAAAUUACGCAAGUAAUCUACCCGAAAUAAAUGUUUAUGGUUUAUGUUACAUGAUAUAUGAGAAUAGAUUUGGAAAAGAAAGCUGGGGCAGAAGUAGACAGUGCUAUGGAGAUGGAUGCAGGUACUUCAGGAGGAGUUUUGGUUCCGGAACCUUAUAUGGGGGAGAAAUAAUAGGUUAGGGUUUAGAGUUUUUAUAGGCCUUUUUUUAAUAUUUUGAGUUUAAAGUUUGGCAACACAUUGAGUUUAGCACAUUUUGACUUACAAAUUGGGUUUAGAAAAUAAUACCCAAAAAAAAUAAUUAAAUAAAAAAAUUAAUUUAAUUAAUUCGGUUCGGUUCGAUUUGUUUAGAUUUCUUGAUCACUAAAACCAAACCGAACCAAAAGAAUUCGGUUCGGUUCGAUUUUUUCAAUUUGGUUCGAUUUUUUCGGUCGAUUCGGUUUUUUCGGUUUCGGUUCGAUUUGGUUUUCCGUUUUCGGUUUUUUGAACCCACCCCUACUCGAGUGCAUGAGCAAAUGCUCUUAACAAAAAAACCAUAGUCAUCAACAUUUCACAAAAAAUUAAUUUCCAAAGGAACCAUAGUCAUCAACGUUCCACAAAAAAAUUUAAAAACUCAGAAAGAAAAAAAAAAACACCAAUGGUCAACACCAUAUCUUCCGUUCCUCAAAUCAUCUCCUCAAGCUCAAGCGUUAUAUUUACAAGGGCCGCGGCUUGGGUCGGUGGUAAUGAUUUGUCCGGACCCAGAGAAAUCACAGUUAAAGUUGUGACGGCCGUUAGCCUGGUAAUAAGCAUUCAUGAGAUAAGACGCGCGAGCUCUAAUGUCUUUAUCGAAGCAGGCGCUGCCUGGCUGGAUGGACUUGCAGUCAACGCCGGUGCCGCAGACGUAGUUAAUGUUUGAUUGCAAUGCUUGGUUGCUGGCUGCUGGUUUUGCCACGCACCACUUCUUGCCGCCGUUGUUGUUGCCUCCUGCUGUCGGUGUUGCCGGCGUUGCUGGUUUUGAUGGUUUUGGUUGUUUGGCAGGCCUUCCUUUUUUCCCCUUUUUGGGAGCAGCUGGUGUAGUUGGUCCAGCUGGUCUAGAAGGUUGUGUUGGAAUUUGCAUUGUUGGUCCAGGGGUCGCACCACCCUAAAUCAUGCAACAAGUUAGUAUACAUAAGACUAACAUUAUUCUAGCAAUAAGAAUAUAAUAUAUGUGAGUUAGAUUUACGACAGUAUGCCCAUCAUUUGAUGAGCAAUUUAAUUCAACAAAUUGGAUGAAUUUACGAUUAUUAUUUUUUUGUGAAUUAUAUUAUUUUUCAUUAUUUUUUUAGUGGGUGCAGAAAUGUUUCAUGCAACAUUAUUUAAUAUAACACAAGAAACAAAACACCGAAUCUAGAAAUUUUGCUUACCCUACGGUGCAUGUGCCCGACAUUUUAAAUUUAACAAUUACUUUUUGAACAACAGAACUAUCUACACUAAUGGUACGUUUACGUAACGGUAAUGAAAAUAUGAGGAAUUGAAUUAAGGAUGAAUUGAAUUGAAGAGGAGUUGGAAUGAUGAGAAGUUAGAAUCGGAUUCCUGUUGAAGCUGUUUACUUAAAUGUUCUGGAAUCGGAAUAGAAUUCCAUAAAGCUGUUUACUAAUUCAGCAGAAUCGGAAUAUAAACCAGUAUGAUUACUAAAAUGCUCUUGUCCCAAAUCAAAUAUUUUAUAUACUUUAAUGAGUUUAUAAAGGAUAGUCUUGGAAAUAAAAAAAGUAAGUAAGGGCAUAAAGGGAACAAAAGUGUCAUUCCGAUUACCCAAACAAUCAGGAAUUGAAUUACCACAUAUAUAUAAGGAAUCCAAUUCCACCAAUACAAGGAAUUGAAUUCCAAAAUUUGUAUGGACCCCACUGCUUUUUUAAUUCCUCCAUGUUUAGUAAACAUCGGAAUAUUCCGUAAUCGGAAUUCAAUUCCACAUUCUCAUUCCGAUUACGGAUACGUAAACGCGCAGUUGAGCCUCACAAUCGACUAGCCUUAAUAAUGUAGUUUAAAUUCGCUUUUGGCGAGAAUCGGCCCUAAGAUCUUUUACUUACAAGUGAAAAAAAAAAAAUCACUAGAUAAUAGUACUACCUGAUUAGAUUUCAUGCAUGCAAUCAAUCAAUUUAAUACUCUACUUAGUUAUAAGCCUACACUACUAGGCUCAACAUUUAACAAUUAAGUAUUUAAGACAACAAUGAUGAGAUGGGCUAAAUAAAGAAACAAAAGCAAAAUGGAAAAUCAAAAGACGAUUAAUCAAGAACCAACCUGUUGAUUGCGCAUAACCCCAGCAUUGUACACCGGAGUCAUGUCCGGUUUGAAUAGCCCCCAGUUCUUCUCAGCAGACGGACCGGGUUUCUGAUUCUCAUUAAACAAAGCAAAGAUGUAAGUCUCGAACUUCCGGUUCGGCAUCAAAGGCGUACCCUUCCCGGACUCAACAUGCUUGAUCAAGUUACCGUUGUAGUCUACAGCGUUCUGAACCGAACACACUGGGAACUCGCAAGCCGAAGGCCAACCGGUCUCGGCCGCAAUCAUGUCCACAUCACCGAACCCGAUUGCCUUGGCAGCUGAGUAAACCGCGUCCAUCAACCCAUCGAACAUGUUAGUGUAAAACUUGCCAGUGACUGUAUCGUGCACACCCUGAUUGGGUCUGAAGAGAGCGUAGUUCUCUUUUUCGGGUGACCACCCGAAAUACGGGUACGGGUUAACCAUGAAAGGCGACUUAGUCUGGGUACAGAACUUAAGCAUUUGAGUCAGAAUUGGAAUCACCUCCGGUCUGAAUCGGCCCGUGCUGGGCGGGUCAGAAGACAACAUGAUUCCCAGCGAGUGAGGGGUCGAGACCUUGACGUCUUUGAUCCCCUCUUGGGCCAAAGCACUGUGGAAGGUCUCCAUGGCAGGAACUAGGCUCGACUUGAGAGCGUCGUCCCCCCAGUGGAGGACCUCGUUGCCCAAGGCAAUGUAUUUGAUUUUGCUUGCCGGGUAAAACGGCUUGACAUGAUCAGUGAUCCAACGGCGAGCGGUUUGUAGGUUUUUGAGGCUCGGAAUUUCUCCAUUGGGGACGGUAAUCGUCAAGGAGAUGUUGGUGUUGGCGAAGGCCUUGAUGAUGUCUGGGUUGGCGUCGAAGAGUUUGACGGCGUCGAUCUUGGUUUGGGUUUUGAUGAAGUCGGCGACUUUGGCAGGUGGCGGGAGGUUGUCGGCGAGAGUACCAUAGUUUACACCGAUGGAGUAGGCUGUGGCGGCGAGCUGGACGAGGAGGAGAAGGGAUAGGAGGAGCUUGGUGGUAGCCAUGGUUGUUUUUUUUCUUUUAUUCGUGGUGUUUCGGGAGGUGGUGGAUGCUCUCCUUUUUCCUUGGAGGACUUGGGAGUUUAUGGCCGAAGUAUUUAUAGUGGGGAAAGGGAAAAGAAAUUGAGGACAGGAAAUAAGAAGAUAAGGGACGAAUGAGAUCGUGACGUGUAGUUGGUCAAAUAUCUAUUUUAUUUGUGAUUUCUAUUUACUUCUAAAUUAUGUUGGAUUUUCUUGAUGUAUGCUAAUUAUUUGGAGGAAUUUUAUCUUUUUAUUACACAUCAAAACCUAAAAAUAACUCCACGUCCAGAGUCCGAAGGCUGAUAUACUUUCAUCAGUCUUCUUUGUAUAUGAAAGUAUAGAUUGUCGUGGUGAAGCCACUAUCUGGUCUUUUUUAUUAUCUAUUUAAUCAUGUAUUAGCAUUAAAAUAACUUAUCAAGUAGUUGGAAUGAAUGUACAUAUAACUUUUUUUAUCUCUCGUACGUCAAUAUCACAUAAAGGAAAAAAAUACGUAACAAACUUGGCUUACGAUAAUUUCGUUUGCUUUUGUUGCUUGAUUACCUUGAAUCCUAAUUUAGCUAGGUUACGUGUAAUUUGUUGUCAAAAUUGUUCGGGGCUCAUAACAUCUGAAAAAUGUCAACUGUUUGGGGCUCAUAACAUCUGAAAAAGCUUAAGGUAGAGCGAAGGGCAAUGCAUAGAGAAGCAUCUCUAGCAAACGUUGAGAUGUUGAAAUGUUAACUUUUGGCUUUGGGUUGAUGACACAUGCCAACUCAUCUUUGGCACUUGGCUAGGGACAAAACUAGCUAACAUCCAGAACAUUUGUCGCACGUAAGAUAGUGUUGCUAAUUUUUUUUUUUUAAAUAUUUACAAUUUGAUUGACGUUAGUGAUAAUUUUUAGAAAAUGUGUAUGCUUAUUAACACUAUAUCAUAAAUUUAUAAGGCAUCAUUCACAUCGUUCAUUCAUAUUAUGCUACGUGAGUUAAUGGCGUCACAUAAUUGUAUUAAUCUCACUUAUCAAAUCCUAUUACAUAGUUCCGCAACCAUGUAUGGUUAAUUAAAUAAACAUCUGAGUGGCAUGAGUAUCCAUAUCUCAACAGAAGUCAUACUUCGCCAGUACCAUAAGCUUUUUUGUACUAAACCCUAAACCCAUCUAUGUUUUUCUGUACACCUUCCCAUCUCUGUUUUUCCAAAAUGAAAAUAAAAUGGGACACUUUGGAAGAUAAACAGGGAGACCCAGGGAGCAGGAUAAGAGAGGAAGGAAAAGAGAUGGAGAGUGCGGCGUCCAGAGGCAGCGGAGGGUAGGAGGGAUGGUUGACGGAGCUUUGGUGGACGGCGUUGUUCUUUACUUUAUUUUCCAAUUUUUUAUUUUAUUUUCUGAAAGGGAUAAAAUGAAUUUCAAAUCCAGCUAUUAAAAUAACAUACACAUGUUAGAUUUUGAAAUGAAAAUAUCACCGUCCACGUGGUGAUACAUCUAAUAAUUUCUUCGGAAGGUGAGGGCCAGUGUCCAAGAACACACAGGUCGGGUCCCAUUUAUGAAAUAAAAAACAAGGAAAGUAGAGAUUGGGCCCUUAAUAUGGCCUGUCUCACUGAUUUUUGUUGCUAGACGUGGGACCUGGCUUUUCUGUGCUCUCUUUCCGUACAAUCUCAUUAUCUUCUAUUUAUACGGUCACGGUUAAGUUAUAUCAAUAUUUUAUAUUAUUAUUAUUUUUUAUCUUAUUAUCUUUAUAAAAAAAUUAAUAUAAAAUUUUGACGUGAUUUAACCGUGACCGCACAAACUAGGAGGAGAUGAAAGUGUAUGAAAAGUGAGAGGGCAGAGAAGCCAGCCCGCUAGACGUGACCUAAUUUUCACUACCCAAGUAAGAAAAUUGCAAAAUUAUGUGACGGAUGUAAUCUCAUUUUUCGGUUCAUUUCAUAAUACUUCAAAUAUAAAAGCUUUAAGAAGGAUAAAACACCCACUGAGAAUGCUCUAGCACACCAAGACUACAAGGCACCUACUCUUGUUGUUUGUGUAUUUUCUAUUUGUCUACCUCCGUCAUAAUAUUUUGAGCAGUGUGUCUUUUAAAGAUUUAGUUUUUGUUUUUAUUUAUCAAUAAUCAUGUUUCGAGUGAGUUCAAUAAUAAUUUGUGAUCAUUUAGUACUACGGUCUAAUUAUAUUUUUUUUAUGUGUAAAUGAGAGGUCUUAGGUUUGAUUCUCGCCAAAAGCGAAUUUGAAUCACAUUAUUACUAGCACAUUAUAAGAUUAAGUCCACUCUCCUUCCUUAUUAGUAUAAAUAAUAUUAUUUAUUAAAAAAAAAAAUAAUAAUAAUAAUUAGUGGCCCCUGUGACUCGUUGUGGAUGAGAUAACCACCUCUUCUUUAUGUGUAUUUGCAGAUAGGGCUGGGUUCGGUUCUUUUCGGUUCGGUUUUUUGCCAAAACCGAAAUCAAACCGAAAUUUCGGUUCGGUUCGGUUCGACCCAUAUUUUUUUCGGUUUUUUUCAGUUCGGUUUUUUUUUCGGUUCGGUUUUUUCGGUUCGGGUUCGGUUUUUUUUCGGUUUUUUUUUUUUUUCCUCCAAAAAAUGCAAAACAACCACAACAUAAGAUAGAAAUAGAAAAUAUGACAUGUUUCCAUCUCUCCAGGACGGUUUUUCAAUAUUCAUGAGGGAAGUUACUACUUACUAAUUAAUCUAAAAACAUAAAGUCUCAUAAAACUAAAAGUCUUCAAAAAAUGAAAAUAAACAUUUAAAGUUCAACUAGAAAUAGAAUCAAUCAUCAAUCAAGUUUAAGUCUUCAAAAAGUCCAAAUUAAACAUCAAAGUUUAAGUCUUCAAAAAGUCCAAAUUUAAACAUCACACAAGUCAAAUAAACCUUCAAGGUUUCAUCACUCAUGGUCAUGUCUUGCACAAAUAAAAUCCUUCCAAGUCUUCAAGCUCAAGCUCAUCGCAUAGGCGGCCUAGGAGGCAACAUAACAAAUUGCAUAAGCUCAGAAGUUUCACAACCAUGUUAAAACAGGUAAGAAUUAAUACAACAAGCAUUAACGCUAUAAAGGACAAUACUGAAGGCUAAGAAGAGAUGAAUGUAAUGAUUUAAAAAUGAACUCUCACUCAACCUAAGGCUAUAUACAAUCUCCUUAUUUAAUUUUGUUUAAGUGUCAGCGAGGUAAGACAAACCAUACCUCUUCAAACCGCUCAGCUUCAUUAGCUGAUUCAGUUUCAGCAACCACGGCAGGUGGUGGAGGUCCUAUAAAAUAUUCAGAAUCUCUUCUUCCAACUCAGCUUCUCUGUACAUAUGUAAUAAAAACCACAACAUUUCAAGCAGUCACAAUGAGAAAAUACUAUAAUCCACCACCACGUCAACAGGUAACCCAAAUUAUAACUGUAAUUCAAAAUAAACAAGACUAGAGUAAUUGCAAAGUUGUUUCAAAAUAAUUUGCCAGCUGAAUAAUCUGUCAAAUAAAAUACCUUAGCUCAGCCUGUGCCUUCGUCAAUUUGGCUGCUGCUGCAAGUAACUCAGUUGAUGGCAUUGCAGGGCCAAUUGUCCUAAAAUGUAAUGCAAGCAAUCAACCAAAAAAUAACAAAUCAAGGUUCUUUUCUUAAGCAAUACAUAAGUGUCAUUAAAUAUUCGACAUAUAUAUCAAGCCCAUCAGUACCUGAUGCAAUAUGUAAAACUAAAGAUAGAAGUAUGGUUACAUUAAAAACUUUUACCAGUAUAUUACUUUCAAGAAGAACCCAAAUUAUGGGGCUGUUUCUCACGAAAAAUUACAACUAUGCAUGUCAAUCUCUAACAAAAGCUAUUGAAGAAAAACAGAUCUCAACCUCAUGGCUUGUCUUUAAAAACAGUAAUGUACCCAAAAUUUGAGGAGCUUUUCUUUCUCAAACUCGUACUCUAUCUUUAUGGUUGUCCAACUGCACAAUUGAAUGAGAAAUUACAGUCAGUUACAUAAGAAAAAACUCAGAGAAGAAAAAAUUUGCAUGUAACGGAAAGUGAAGAAAAACAGAUCUCAACCUCAUGGCUUGUCUUUAAUUCCACAUAAAACCUCCUUCCAUCAUCAGUUGAAUCACAGCAAUCCAUUUCAGCACCCAUCAGAAUACGAUGAGCCCCUAAUUUUGUUUUGAUCACAGAACAGUAUUCAACAUUGGCAUCAACAUUAUGUAUCGAUGAGCCCCUAAUUUUUCUUUCUGUUUAUCUAUUUUCUCAGCAACAAAAGAGAACCCAGAAAAUUCACGAGAGAAAUUACGGAGAGGAGUCAAUACCUGGAGGACUUUGGGGCCGAGGAGGUGAGAGGACUUUCGGAGGGUAUGCGGGUCGGGCAAGGACCUGGAGGAGAUGGAAAAAACUAUAGUCCGUUUUUCAUCUUAAUAUUUUAUAUGGUUACAUGAGUGAAUUAAUAACACAAAAUGAUUGUCUGGUUAGUCAAAUAAAAGAAUUACUGUCUUAAGCUUGAUUCGAAAAAAAAAAAAUCUAUAAUGAGUCAAAAAGAAUUCGCUAUCCUUCACUGACAAUAACCUUAUUACAUGAAUAACACGUGACAAAUAGACAUGAGGAAAAUGAUAUACAAGGACCGCAUCAUAACCCUUCAAACCAAUCUAACUCUCUCACCUGAUUAUUAAGAUUGUUGUGGUGGUGUAGUCCUAUGCACUACAAGCACAUACUAAUGUUUGAUUCGAAGACAUAAUUUGAUGAUUUAAGCAAACACUUUAACGCUCAAGCCUCAUUGGUGAAACGAUUGGGAAAACAAAUUGAGGGGAAAAGUUGUAGAAGUAAGAGGAAAAGUAAUGAAAAAAAACACAAUGGACCAAUAUGUGGGGAUACAAAAGCAUUCAAGGAAAAUCCAGGUUCGGAAUUGUUAAUUAUCAUUUGAUAUCUAAUACCUUAACCCUUUGAUGUAUAUAUACAAUAUCAUUAAAGGUAAUAAUUUUUGCACGCUUUUUCUUCUUCUGUAAAUUUUUAUUUAUUUGCGUCUCUUAAUCUUUUUAUUUAUUUAUUUAAUUUAAAUUAUAAAAAAAAGAAGUAAAAAUUAUUUCCUUAUCUCGAAUUUGUACUCAGUUUUGGAUUUUAACUCAUUAUUUCUUUAAAAUUAAAAACUGGAGAUCUUGGGUUCGAAACCAGUUGCUGGUGUGGAAGCUAGACUUGUCACAGCCCGUCCCGAGAUUCUAUUUAUCGAGGUUGUGAAAUGACGAAAGUACCCUUGACGGUUACUAAGGUAUGUGUGUGGCAUGUUUUGAAUAAUGCAUAUUUUCCUAAGUUUUGGAAAAUUUAAGUUGGAUUAAAGGAUGUGUGUAUAUUUGUGUGGUUAGGGAAUUAAAGAGUGACUUGUUUUGGGUGGACCACACACACACACACGGGACAAACCCUUUCCUUCCCCGUGCCCUCUUUCUCUUCCCUCAUAGUUCUCUCUCUUCCCUCGUAGUUCUCUCUCUUCCCUCGCAGUUCUCUCUCUUCCCUCCUGAUUCGAAUGGUGUUACUUUUAGAACUGGAAACCUUAGAAAUCGCGUCGAACCCGUAACCCAUUUUGAAAUCAUUGUUCAUGCACACGUGAAUUGUUAAAUUUCAGGGAAUUCUAAGCUUACAGUGAGCUUAGUAAGGUCCUAAGUAAGCUUGGAGAGUUUAGUUUGAAGGUUUUGGACGUCGGGAUCGUCGAGUUCGAAGUUGGCCGGUUUUCUUGGAAUUUCUCCGGUGAGAUUUCGUAUGUUUUUUAACCUUAAAGUAGUGUAACGUGAUUAUACACGCUUAGGGCUUCAAUUUGAUAUAAAAUGCGUGAAAAAUGGUUGAGAAAUGACGGAGAACAAAGAGAUUGAAAAAUCUCCAGUUUUCCAGUGACUGGAGGAAGAAGGUGACGCGCGUGGGGGCACGUGGGUCUGUGCCCCUCCCAGCGCGUGCGGCCUCGAAAUUUUUUUCUAAAAAUACCUCGACGUCCGUGACGUCGAGUAGGUUACUGUGAUAUAUUCAUAUACCCAAAUUGAGCAUCGUAUGAGAAGUUAUUACGAAUUGUCGGUUAUGUGCUUUAAAUAACGUUGUUUUAGUUGUUUCGCAUAUAGGUGAUACCUAUCCCGAGGACGAGCGCAUUCAAGGACGUCACAGGGGUUACGACCCUUCGACUUAUCAGUGAGUGGGCAGUUAUUUUCUAUUAUUACCUAUAUACUACUGAAUUUCCCAGAAAUUGAAUUUAAAUGAAAGUAUGUUUUUAAAAUGCCAUGCAUGCAUAUUAUGAAUUAUAUGAAUUAGUAAUUGAUGCAUAUAUAUGUGAAAUGGUGAUGUGGACGCACAUGUGAGUAUCAGGUGAGUUUUAUGUUAUUCAUGUGAACUAUCGAUUAAGUGAAUUGUGUUGAAAGUUCAAACCUGCACCCCUGGUGUUAGUGCUUAUAUUAUUCACCUUGCACCGCACGCUCACCUUGGAUCUAAGUAGGUGCAUGUCACAGACCAUGAGAAGGUUCCGACAUGUCGUACAGACCAUAGAGUGGUUCCGACUGUAGGUGAUUUUAGAUUAUUAUACAGCUGUUGAUGAGAUAAGCACUAGAGCGUAUUCUUACACCAUUCUUAUCGUACAGACUACUUCAGGUAGUUCCGAUUUAUGUGCAGAGUAGUGCCGUACAGGUCACUGUGGUGACUCCGGUUGGUUUGGAUAUUGAGCUAUGGAAUUAACCGUACAGGACCAACUGCAGGGUCUUUAGUUGAUUCAUUAUGUCACCUGUUAUAUUGAUGCAUUCUUAAUCUGUUAUUGACAUUUAUUGCAUAGCAUACUUUCUGGUUUUGAUAAAUAUUGGUGAUUUGAGAUAUUUGAAGAAGUAUAUGCAUAUUAUGUUAUUUUCUGGGAAAGUAUACAGGUUUUACAGCGAGGGGUUAGAAAUGUUAUUAAUUGAAAUGUUUUCAAAAGCUUUGUUUUACUGACCCACUCAAUUUUGUUUUACACCCCUCCAGGUUCUAGUUAGCAGCAUUGGUGGCCCACGAGGAUUCCCACGGCGUACUGACAUACUACAUAAAUGUAUGACUCACCUUCAGGUGUUGUAAUUUAGUUAUGGUCCUAUUUGACUGCACCUAGUACUUAUGCUCUGAAUAUGUGUGUUUCACACUUAAACUUACUCUAGCAUGCCAGUUGGAUAUUAUUGCUAGUAUUUGGUUUUUAUUUCUUCUUAUUUAUCUUAUCUAUUGCUUCCGCGUCGCACUUUUGGUUACGUCACACUCACGUGACGGCCAGUACGCCUUGAUUCUAGGAUCGGGUUAUGUCAAGACUUGUGGCUAGGAAGAGGCUGAAAUAUCUAUGUGAGUCUUUCCGACCUCCAGAAGAGGUGGAUAACCGUAGCUUGCCACUAGUUAUCUCCUUUUUUUAAAGAAAAAAAAAAGUAUAUAGUUAUACCAUGAAAAUAUAUUAUAAAAUAAAAAAAAAAGGAGCAAUUUUUAUCUCUAAUUCUAUGAAGAUAGUCAACUUUAGAGGAACUUUUGUCUUCAAGCUAAUUCCCAUGACAAUAUAUUCUAUUUAGUUCUCUCAAAUUUUUAUAUUUGAUUUUGUAAAGAAAUAUAAGAACUAUUUUUUUUUUUUUUUUAUUUUUGGCCAAAAAAUUAUUUCCAACAUAAUGUAUUGAUCUGAGCCUAUCACUUAUAGGAAAAAUGCAAAUGGAAAGUCCAAUUUGAUGAACCAAAAUAGUACUGUGAAGAUUUAACUAAAUCAAUUUGAUAAACCAAAAUAUUACUGUAAAGAUUUUACUAAGUCAUCAAAUGAUUAAAUAUCAAAACACGACAAUUACAUGCAUGUUGCAACACUUGUCACAUAGUUUAUUUAUUUUUCAUUCUAAAAUUAUCUCCAUUUCCAUGAAACAAGAAAGAUUUUGUAAUACAGAAGUUGUAGUGAAGAUGGCAAGAGAAAAUCAAGAACAGAUAAGCAGAUUCCACUCCCCAUGACUCGUUGGCCGACGUCUGAAGGCGAUGCGAUCAUUGACCUUUUAGCGUAAAAAUGUGAUUUUUCGUUAAAAUAUACGAAAGCUUUUCGUUAAAAUUCUUUUUAUCAAUAAAUAAAAUAUCUUGAUUUUUUUUAUUAGUACAUCAAUAUUUUUAGUCUUCUUUAAAAAAAAAAGAUUUCAUCCCUAUUUUAGCUAAUUAGGGACCAGAACAAAAGUUUUCCUUUAUUUUUUUAACAAAUAAUAAGAUAAUUAUAUUGAAUUCAUUUAAACUACGAGAAGAGAUAUUCAAACACAGAACCUCAUGCGCAUGAACGAGAAUGCUCUUAACCAUCAUAUACUAAUUAAAUUCCAAAUACACCAUAGUCAUCAACAUUCCACAAAAAAAUUUAAAAAAAAAUUAAAAAGAAAGAAAAGUCACGAUCAACACCAUAUCUUCCGUUCCUCAUCAUCUAUUCAAGCUCAAGAAUUGUAUUUACAAGAGCCGUGGCUUGGGUCGGUGGUGGUGAUUUGUCCGGACCCAGAGAAAUCACAGUUGAAGUCGUGACGGCCGUUAGCCUGGUAGUAAGCAUUCAUAAGGUAAGACGCGCGGGCUCUAACGUCGUUAUCAAAGCAAGCGCCGCCUGGCUGGAUGGACUUGCAAUCAACUCCGGUGCUACAGACGUAGUCAAUGUUUGAUUGCAAUGCUUGGUUGCUGGCUGCUGAUUUUGCCACGCACCACUUCUUGCCUCCUGCUACCGGUGUUGUCGGCGUCGCUGGUGUUGAUGGUUUUGCUGGUCCGGCAGGCUUUCCUGGAGUUGCACCAUCCUAAAUCACACAACGAUUUAGUAUACAUAAAGACUAACAUCAUUCUACCAUAACAAUAUAGCAUAUGUGAGUUAAGUCAGAAUGUUAAGGCAGUAUAUCCGCCACUCUGAAAUAUCGAUAAAAAUACAUCUUCGGUACAAAUUCAAAAUUUGUAUGAUGAGAAUCCAAUUUGGUUAAUAUGUAGCCUAACAGAGAACAUUAAGAAACUACUAAAAUUAUAUGUUUGCAUCAAAUGCCAAUUCUUGUAUAUCCACAAAUUUUGUUCAACAAAUAAGGUUUGAGUAGUACCGAUGACACUACAUUUUACUAUAUUAGCUAAAUAUGACAAUGUUUUAUUUGUUUCUUGACCAUUAUGAUACAUAAUUAUUACAUUUAAAUUAGAAAUUUACACAUAAUUAAUAACCGAAAACUGAUUAUGUCUCUCUAACUAGAUGUAAUUUUUUAUUUUGUGAUUCAAUAAAGUUCACCUCGUUCGGCUUUAGAUUUUCCUAAAAAUCAUAACUUAAAACUAGGAACAUUUUUGCUCCCCACUCUAAACUUUUAUGCAUGGUUAAUUAUUUGUCAUGUGUCACUUAAUCAUGAUUAAUUUUUUUCAAAAUAAAAAAGUAACAUUUAAUAUAAAAGUUUACUAAAAUUAAAUGAAAGAACAAAUGAUAAAUGAUUAGACGUAUUCAUGAACAUGCAUCUUAAUUAUAAUGGCGAGCAAAAGUAUUCGCCUAAAAGCUGAGAUCAUUUGUUAACUUUACACGUUAUUUGGUGAACAAUUUAAUUCAAUAAACAGUAUGAAUUAAAUUAAUUUUUUUUUUAAUUGGAUUUUUACCAAUAUAAUUCAUAUCACUAGACAGAUAAUAAGAUAUGUAUGUUAAAAAGUUAAUAACUUAUAAAAUAAAAUUUACCGCUAUUCUUAUUAAAAUAAGUAAUCUACCAUCUAUGUUCCUUAAAAAUUUCUUGAUUUGAUGGGGUGCAGAAACGUUCCCUGCAACAUUAUUUAAUUUAACACAAGAAACAAGACACCGAAUCUAGAAAAUUUGCUUAAUCAACGGUGCAUGUGACCGACGUUUUAAAGUAAAAAGCCUACGAAUUAACAAAUAAAUAUUUAAUACAGAAAAAGACAAAUAAAUAUUUAAUCAAGAACCAACCUGUUGAUUGCGCAUAACCCCAGCAUUGUAAACCGGAGUCAUGUCCGGUUUGAACAGCCCAAAGUUCUUCUCAGCGGCCGAACCGGGUUUCUGGUUCUCAUUAAACAAAGCAAAGAUGUAAGUCUCGAUCGUACGGUUCGGCAUCAAUGGCGUACCCUUACCGGACUCAAUAUGCUUGAUCAAGUUACCGUUGUAGUCCGCAGCGUUCUGAACCGAGCAGACUGGGAGCUCGCAAGCCGAAGGCCAACCGGUCUCGCCCGCAAUCAAGUUCACGUCACCGAACCCGAUUGCCUUGGCAGCUGAGUAAACCGCGUCCAUCAACCCAUCGAACAUGUUAGUGUAAAACUUGCCGGUGAAUUUAUCGCGCACACCACUGUUGGGUCUGAAGAGAGCGUAGUUCUCCUUUUCGGGUGACCACCCGAAAAACGGGUACGGGUUAACCAUGAAAGGCGACUUGGUCUGGCGACAGAACAGAAGGAUUUGGGCCAGAAUUGGAUGCACCUCCGGUCUGAACCGGCCUGUGCUGGGCGGGUCGGAAGACAACAUCAUUCCGAGCGAGUGAGGGGUCGAGACCUUGACGUCCUCGAUUCCCUCACGGAUCAAAGCGUUGUGGAAGGUCCUCAUGGCAGGGACGAGGCUCGCCUUGAGAGCGUCGUCCCCCCAGUGGAGGACCUCGCUGCCCAUGGCAAUGUAUUUGAUUUUGGUUGCCGGGUAAAACGGCUUGACGUGAUCAAUGAUCCAAUGGCGAGCGGUGCGUAGAUUUAUGAGGCUCUGGAUGUCUCCGUUGGGGAUGGUAAUCGUCAAGGAGAUGUUGGUGUUGGCGAAUGCCUUGAUGAUGUCGGGGUUGGCGUCGAAGAGUUUGACGGCGUCGAUGUUGGUUUGGGUUUUGAUGAAGUCGGCGACUUGGGCCGGUGGCGGGAGGUUGUCGGCGAGAGUACCGUAGUUUACGCCGAUGGAGUAGGCUGUGGCGGCGAGCUGGACGAGGAGGAGAAGGGAGAGAAGGAGCUUGGUGGUGGCCAUGGUUGCUUUUUUCUUUUUGUGGUGGUGCUUUGGGAAGGCGGUGGAUCCUCU